RNAcentral lists this ribosomal RNA (487 nucleotides) under uncultured bacterium. RNAcentral's name for it is "partial 16S ribosomal RNA". It matches the Rfam family "Bacterial small subunit ribosomal RNA", at positions 28 to 507 of the family's 1533-position model. The record is from RNAcentral.
GAUGAACGCUAGCGAUAGGCUUAACACAUGCAAGUCGAGGGGCAGCACAAGGUAGCUUGCUAUCUGGGUGGCGACCGGCGCACGGGUGCGUAACGCGUAUGCAACUUGCCCUAUACAGGAGGAUAACCCGUCGAAAGACGGACUAAUACUGCGUAUGCUCACAACUUGGCAUCAAGUGGUGAGGAAAGAAAUUCGGUAUAGGAUAGGCAUGCGUCCCAUUAGCUUGUUGGUGAGGUAACGGCUCACCAAGGCAACGAUGGGUAGGGGAACUGAGAGGUUUAGCCCCCACACUGGUACUGAGACACGGACCAGACUCCUACGGGAGGCAGCAGUGAGGAAUAUUGGUCAAUGGGCGCGAGCCUGAACCAGCCAAGUCGCGUGAAGGAUGACUGUCUUAUGGAUUGUAAACUUCUUUUAUACGGGAAUAACAAGAGUCACGGGUGACUCCCUGCAUGUACCGGAUGAAUAAGCAUCGGCUAACUCCGUG